RNAcentral lists this long non-coding RNA (201 nucleotides) under Elaeis guineensis (African oil palm). Its description in RNAcentral is "long non-coding RNA (EGUI_LNC061821)". The record is from RNAcentral. Lineage: Eukaryota; Viridiplantae; Streptophyta; Magnoliopsida; Arecales; Arecaceae.
UGGGCUAAUGAUAUAUGAAAAUUUAAGCCCAUUAUGACCUAUCGGGUCCAUAUCAGCACCUCUCAAGUAGCCUAAUUGUUGCAGCUCACCUGACCCUUAGCCGGCAUGUGCCUGGUCCGACCCUUAAUCGGUCAAUCUUUGAUUUGACUCUGAUUUGAAUAGCUCUUUGUCCAAAUCCUAGAUGAAAAAGGUUUGGUCCGA